AAACCGUUAGAAGGGAAGCCAAUGGAGUCAGCAAUUCAUCCAUCCCGAUUCAGUCACGAACGCUCCGGUCGCGCGCACGAUUUCGAUCUUUCUAGACGAAACGUUCACGUUCCAGUCCGGGCGUUUGUGGCGCACUUCGGGAGGGCGAGCGUCAAUGCCGGUAGGUUCACGAGUGAGAACGUUGCGAGAAAGGUAGGUGCUUCGGGACUGUUAAGCCUCGCCACCGAAUGACUCGUAAUCUACCGAGGAGGUCGCAACGCAUUCCUGCUCUGGCAGGCUGAUGUUGUGCUUAGUUGUAACGGAUGCGCAAUGCGACGGACGGCUUUGCCUGUGCGCUCGUAACGCAGUCGUUCGACGGCACGUCUAACAUACAGCACGCGUUGAGGACGUUGACGAGCAUACGGCUUCAUCCGACCCGUCUUGAAACACGGACCAAGGAGUCUAACAUGUUCGCGAGUCACUGGGUGAUCGAAACCCGUGGGCGCAAUGAAAGUAAAGACAGAAUGUUGAGAUGAGAAGCCUUCGGGCUGCAUCAUCGACCGACCUGUUCUACAUGUAGAAAGGUUUGAGUAAGAGCGAACCUGUUGGGACCCGAAAGAUGGUGAACUAUGCCUGAAUAGGGUGAAGCCAGCGGAAACA
Molecule: ribosomal RNA, 639 nt
Filed under: Pseudumbellula scotiae
Lineage: Eukaryota; Metazoa; Cnidaria; Anthozoa; Scleralcyonacea; Pseudumbellulidae
Description: Pennatulacea fam. n. gen. p sp. s PJLG-2021 partial large subunit ribosomal RNA
Rfam family: Eukaryotic large subunit ribosomal RNA
Source: RNAcentral